This 745-nucleotide ribosomal RNA is filed under the name Citrus cavaleriei (Ichang papeda). RNAcentral describes it as "bacterial SSU rRNA". It matches the Rfam family "Bacterial small subunit ribosomal RNA", at positions 763 to 1520 of the family's 1533-position model. The record is from RNAcentral. Lineage: Eukaryota; Viridiplantae; Streptophyta; Magnoliopsida; Sapindales; Rutaceae.
GGGGAGCGAACAGGAUUAGAUACCCUGGUAGUCCACGCCGUAAACGAUGCUAACUCGUUUUUGGGUCUUCGGAUUCAGAGACUAAGCGAAAGUGAUAAGUUAGCCACCUGGGGAGUACGUUCGCAAGAAUGAAACUCAAAGGAAUUGACGGGGGCCCGCACAAGCGGUGGAUUAUGUGGUUUAAUUCGAUGAUACGCGAGGAACCUUACCAAGGCUUAAAUGGGUAAUGACGGGUUUAGAAAUAGACUUUUCUUCGGACAAUUUUCAAGGUGCUGCAUGGUUGUCGUCAGCUCGUGCCGUGAGGUGUUAGGUUAAGUCCUGCAACGAGCGCAACCCCUAUCAUUAGUUGCCAGCGUUUAAAGACGGGGACUCUAAUGAGACUGCCGGUGCAAACCGCGAGGAAGGUGGGGACGACGUCAAGUCAUCACGGCCCUUACGUCUUGGGCUACACACGUGCUACAAUGGUAAGUACAGAGGGCAGCUACUUAGCAAUAAGAUGCGAAUCUCAAAAACUUAUCUCAGUUCGGAUUGGAGUCUGCAACUCGACUCUAUGAAGCUGGAAUCGCUAGUAAUCGCAUAUCAGCCAUGAUGCGGUGAAUACGUUCCCGGGCCUUGUACACACCGCCCGUCAAGCCAUGGAAGCUGGGGGUACCUGAAGUCGGUGACCGUAAAAGGAGCUGCCUAGGGUAAAACUGGUAACUAGGGCUAAGUCGUAACAAGGUAGCCGUACCGGAAGGUGCGGCUG